GACGAACGCUGGCGGCAGGCUUAACACAUGCAAGUCGAACGCCCCGCAAGGGGAGUGGCAGACGGGUGAGUAACACGUGGGAACGUACCCUUUGGUUCGGAAUAACUUGGGGAAACUCAAGCUAAUACCGGAUAAGCCCUUAUGGGGAAAGGUUUACUGUCGAAGGAUCGGCCCGCGUCGGAUUAGCUAGUUGGUGAGGUAAUGGCUCACCAAGGCGACGAUCAGUAGCUGGUCUGAGAGGAUGAUCAGCCACACUGGGACUGAGACACGGCCCCGACUCCUACGGGAGGCAGCAGUGGGGAAUAUUGGACAAUGGGGGCAACCCUGAUCCAGCCAUGCCGCGUGAGUGAUGAAGGCCUUAGGGUUGUAAAGCUCUUUUACCCGGGACGAUAAUGACUGUACCGGGAGAAUAAGCCCCGGCUAACUUCGUGCCAGCAGCCGCCGUAA
RNAcentral lists this ribosomal RNA (447 nucleotides) under uncultured bacterium. Its description in RNAcentral is "partial 16S ribosomal RNA". It matches the Rfam family "Bacterial small subunit ribosomal RNA", at positions 28 to 523 of the family's 1533-position model. The record is from RNAcentral.